GAAAGCCUGACGCAGCGACGCCGCGUGGAGGAUGACGGUUUUCGGAUUGUAAACUCCUGUUAAGCGGGAAGAAAGGCUGGUCUCUAAUAUAGACCAGAGAUGACGGUACCGCUAGAGAAAGCACCGGCUAAACUUCGUGCCAGCAGCCGCGGUAAUACGAGGGGGCCAAACGUUAUUUCGGGAUAAACUGGGCGUAAAGGGUGUGUAGACGGGAGCAUUUAAGUUUGUUGUUAAAUCUUUCGGCCUAACCGAAAGCUUGCGAUGAAAACUAAUGUUCUUGAGGGUGAAAGAGAGAAGUGGAAUUCUCGGAGUAGCGGUAAAAUGCGUAGAUAUCGAGAGGAACACCGAUGGCGAAGGCAGCUUCUUGGUUCACUCCUGACGUUGAGACACGAAAGCGUGGGUAGCAAACAGGAUUAGAUACCCUGGUAGUCCACGCCGUAAACAAUGAUCACUGGAUGUCAGCUUUGCUUAGCAAGGUUGGUAUCGAAGCUAACGCGUUAAGUGAUCCGCCUGGGAAUUACGGUCGCAAGAUUAAAACUCAAAGGAAUUGACGGGGGUCCGCACAAGCGGUGGAACAUGUGGUUUAAUUCGACACUACGCGAGGAACCUUACCUGGACUUGACAUGCUUUUGGCAGACAUGGAAACAUGUUUUUCUAAGCUUCGGUUUAGACAGGAGCACAGGUGCUGCAUGGCUGUCGUCAGCUCGUGUCGUGAGAUGUUUGGUUAAGUCCUCUAACGAGCGCAACCCUUGCCGCCAGUUGCUAUUUGUCUUCGGGCAAAGCACUCUGGUGGGACUGCCUGGGAAACCAGGAGGAAGGUGGGGAUGACGUCAAGUCAUCAUGGUCCUUAUGUCCAGGGCUACACACGUGUUACAAUGGUCGAUACAAAGAGGUGCGAUACCGCGAGGUGGAGCAAAUCUCAUAAAGUCGAUCUAAGUUCGGAUUGGGGUCUGCAACUCGACCCCAUGAAGUUGAAAUCGCUAGUAAUCGUAUAUCAGCAACGAUACGGUGAUACGUUCUCGGACCUGUACACACCGCCCGUCACACCACGAAAGCUGUUUGUACCCAAAGCUGUUUUAGCCAACCUGUAAAGGAGGCGGACAGU
RNAcentral lists this ribosomal RNA (1105 nucleotides) under uncultured organism. RNAcentral describes it as "bacterial SSU rRNA". It matches the Rfam family "Bacterial small subunit ribosomal RNA", at positions 377 to 1457 of the family's 1533-position model. The record is from RNAcentral.